Molecule: RNA transcript, 6911 nt
Organism: Mercenaria mercenaria
Lineage: Eukaryota; Metazoa; Mollusca; Bivalvia; Venerida; Veneridae
Exons: 2
Source: RefSeq, a predicted model, not a curated record
UGAUAUAUUUCGAUAUCUCACUGCAAACAAACAAAUUUUCUUUUUAUUUUAUGCUAGUUUGUGAAGAUCAAAGAAUUUUCUGUUUAUUACAUGCAUAAAUGUUCAUAUAAAUCCAAUAUUUCAUGACGGAAUUCGGAUUUAUUUAAGCUACCGUGUUACAUAUGAUACAUCCGCUAAAUUACCAUGGACACUUAGGCACAUUAAUAUCGAAUAUUGGUGAUUAGGUUCAUUAAAUCAACACGACGCCAUUUUGUUUUUAAAAACAAAAACUGCAUUUAAAUGUUUUGUGUAAAAAUACACAGUCCGCGGCUAACAGAGACAUUGACAAAUGCCGGUAGUUAAGUAGAAGCAUAUUUAAAACUUUUCGGGUCAAUCCGUCAGUUCGUUGAAUAACCGGAAGCUUGCUUUGUUUACCAAAACACACGCUGAAGGUCAGAUUAAAAAAAAACAACACUAGAAAUCUAAACAACUGUGGAAUAUGCGUAAGCCCUUGGAAAAUCAAGCUGCAGAAUUAAAUAUCAUCAUGGAUUCAAUAGAAAUAGCUAGGAAAUAUUGAUCUAGGAGCUGCAUAGCAUAACAAAAUGGAGGGAAGUUGGAACACAACUGGCUGGGCUUGGAGUUGGAGUGGGAAAGGACUUCGACGAAAAUGAUGGCAUAUUAUGUAAGGUUGAGUUGAUGUUUUGUGAUAAUUAACUAAGACAACAACCAACUAAAUGUGUUGUCGCCAGUAAAAUCUACCACACGGUAGUGAACCAAUGGAAAAAAGUAGAGGAAACACACAUGUCUGUAGCUACAUGAAAUUUAUGGCAAGGCCUAGCAACCAAGCUGACAAAGGUUAAUUCCGUCCUGAGAAGUUAUCCACAACCUUGAGAAAUAGGCCAAUAAAGAUCUUCAGAAUAAGUGUGUGGACAAAGCACCUAUCGUGGCUCUUGGAAUGGUUACGGUCAAAGUGCAUCUUCAUUGAUGGAAGCUCUUAGACACAAAUUAAUAUUGAACCGGGUGAGUCGUAUUCUUUAAUUUAUUUCAUUAAAUUCAAUUCAGAGAUGGAAAGAAUCUUAGAAGUAAUAUUUUAAGAAUGAUCGAAAAUGCGGUCAUAUUGUAGAUAGUAGGUCAAUAGCGUAGCUCAAAGAGGGAACUGUAGGCCAAGUGCAAAAAAAAUAUGUUCAAAUAGCGUCAUAUGUAGCUUUAUAUAUGGACAGAGACAUGUACCAUAAGUACUAUAAGUUUGAGCGUGCACAUGAUGUCUGGUCUCCAGGGCUUUUAUUUUAAUUUAUUUUACAAGUACAAAAAAAAAUAAUAUCGAAUUGUGAGGGGUCUAAGGUUCAAGACCCAAUUGAGCACUGGUUAGGCCCUACGUUAGAUAACUUUUCUAAUUUUGAUUAUUAAGGUAAUUUUAUUUGUGCUCAUUUUGAGUCAAUAAUAAUAAAAAAAAAAAAGGAAAAAAAAUAUGGACAAAUUAUUAUGGGGCGCUGUGAGUUGUUUUUCGUUCUUUAAGUUUCACAGUGGCGCUUUGGGCUAAAGCAUUGAACUAUUGUACCUUUCAUUGUACCUUUUGGUGUAAUGACUGAAAUGUUAGCAUGAAUGCUUUGUUGCGGAAUCAUUUGUCCAUAUAUGGGCAAGUACAUGCUUUAUAUUGGUUUAAGGGGUAAAAUAAAAUAAAUAAAAGUAAAACCCCUUAACUGUUAGAGGCAGCCUUGACUAUAAAAAAUGUCGGCUGAAGUGUCGUCUCUGUCGGCUUCCCAUAACUGACCUGCGCUUAUAUACUUCAAGGUAAAAUGUGCUUCUCAUCGGCCGUCCCCAAGCGUCGAGAGUUGCAAAAGAAAAAAGUAAAAUAAAAACAAAUGUCUUUGCUAAACCUCUAACAACCAGGGUCCCACCAAAGAGGACCCCCUUGAAGCGUUUCCGUGUGUUUGGUCAGUGCAGGUCUGUUUUUGGGAAUAACUGUAUGCGCAGUACAAGUGUACUGUAUCCUUUUGUCCUUUGAACAAGUAGGUUUUAGUUAAAAUAGCAAAAAUCGUACAAGUAAAUUUUGUCUAUAGCUAAUUUGAGUACCGUAUAUAAGGGCAUGGCAGAUUUGAUUCCUGUUUAGUUGGUAUUUUUUGCAUGAUUCGGGCAUAAUAUGUUGUCUUGAUCUGUCCAGUUAGCGUUCAAGUGCAUUGUUAUAAAUAGUCUUUAAUGUUCUGAUGUUUCAUUAAUUUUCGUGCUUAUUUAGGGAAAAUACCUCCAGGUCAACAUUAAAAAUUAAGUUUGUAAAAAGAAUAGUCGUUGUUAUAAGGUAUCAGAAAUGAUAUGGGCGACUACACUUCCAUGAUACGCAUGUCUGACAGCCAGAUUGCAUUUUUUAGCCACGGUACAAGUCCUUUUCUCUUCGUGAGUUUUGUUUUCCAAGGCGUAUCACAUAUAAGACUAAUACCAUAAUCUUACAUCCGUUGUGCUGCUGUUUCAUUCAUAUUUUUCAGCGGCAUUUGCUAAAUUAUUGUCAUCACAGAUUCCAUCGAUUGGCACAACGGUUCACAAAUGUCUUACUGUCGCCAUGUUUCCAGUGAUUGUCUAUAUGGGUUGUAUACCUGUUGUGAUGGACAACUUGAUGAGCAUUCAAUUAACAGGAUGAUUUGUAUCUGCAGCCAUCUAUUGUAGUGAAACGUCUCUAUUUUAGAAAAGGCAAGUAUCUUAUUUACAUGUUUAUGUACAUAUAAACAAAUCGUAAUAGGACGGAUCGCCCCCGAUACAUACAUUUUAUUUAUUUAGCUGAUUAAUGAACAAUUAUUAUGACCAAUUUUCUAACCAUAUUAAGGGGCUUACCUCCACGAGGACACCAAAAUUGUUUUAAUUUUGCAAACUUGGAAAGUAUAUAUAUGAGAAACAUAAGCGUAUGUUUAAUAUCUACUUUGAAAUAUGCUUAUAGAAUAUAAAAGAAAUGAAAUUCUACCCUUAUUUUUCAUACAUCACUUUUAAAUUGCUCUACUGUCGUUUAUGUUUAUAUGUUUAUUUCUCAGUAUGCUUAACAUGCUUAACAAAUGUUCCACAGAUGCGGCACAUUCACAUUAUCAAAUAAUGAAAGUACAUUCUCGUGUUAAAAAAAAAAUCUUGAAGGGUAUCACUUUAAGACAGACGUUUACAUUUAUAUACUGGUGGAAUUAGACCAUUUAGGUCCAUGUUUUGGAGAAGAAAUUUUAAACAUCAUCAAAUCAUGGAAAGUAAUGAUUGUUUUACACGAAAAUUUGAUGUAGCAUAUAAAACAUUUUUCAUUCUAUAAAUCAAUCGUCAAUUUACUCGUAUAUAUAUAUAUAUAGUUUCGAAAGGGGCCUGCAUGGAGAGGCCAUACUUUUGUCAGUUCAGCGCCUUUGAAACCUCAUCAUUGUUAUUAAAACAAAAUAAUAAUAAAAAAAAAUAAAGAACUGUUACAUGUCUUCCUUUGUUGCAUUUGCAACAAUGUACGAAUGCUUGAUAUGUACGAAUGCUUGAUAUUUACAUAUCUAGGUUAAACGUCGUUUUGACUAUUGUUUAAUUUUAUCUAUGUACAAAUGACAUUAAUUUUGUAGGGGGACAAAUCUUUUAGAAUAUUUGGGUGUCCAAUUUGACAGGACAGAACGGUAAAAAGUGUGUUUGAAAGAUGGGUUGUUUAUAAAGAUGUUGAUCAUUCACUAAAAAUUUCUAUGGUUUUCGGAUAUACUGCUAAACCUUACACAAAAAUUUCUACAUUGAUAUGAUAAGAGUAACGCUUGGUUUUAACCUUGGGGCAAUUAUUAUUUUAUUAAGCAGUUUCAUUUAUUCAUAAUGUAUAUAUACGUAUGCAAAAAUAAUAAUUUUAGUGGCCCUUCAACACACAUAAGUGCAUUUCAGGUAUGGCACUAGGCAAGGUGAUUAAUAAUAAAAGACGGAAAAUAAUGAUUCAAAUCGAAUUGGUUCUUUGAUAUUGUUUAUUACUAACAGUUUUUCCCCUUUUGCAGCCAUCGCUGGGGAUGAUUGUUCUUUCGAUUGAUUCAAAUUUUAUCUUAUUUAUUUAAUGUAUUCUGUUUGUACCUUUGCAGUGUCGCUGGGGCAAAUGAAAUUAGGUUAUUUUCAAUAUACAUCUUUAGAUUAGCUGUUUGUAUAGUAUGUGCAUUUUAAACAUUAUGUCACCUUGCCAGUUGCCAUGAGAAAUCUUUAAAAUAAAGCGCGGCCUUUUCCCACUAAACUGUGUUGUAGUUUUCAUUUAUACUGAUAUUUUAGUUGUAGUGGGUGUGACAGACGUAUAUGGUCGGACGCUUACUCAUCUGCCAACGAAAUGUGAUAAUAUCAGUCAUUAAUAAAUUCAAUCUUGUUUUCUUUUAAAAUGACUGAUGAUUUUGCGUCUUGCUAAUGGCUGCUGUCAUUCCCUGUUACAUACGGUCCAGUGAUAAAAUAAUGGGGUUUAUGUUCCCCUUUUUGCAUAAUAAACCUGUUUAUUUUUCAUGGACCUCUGUUCCAGUAAGGAGGUCGCGACGAGAACAGUAUUUUAGUAAUUAGUCGUACGCUAGUUGUUUCCCUUUAUAUUUUGGACGCAAUUUGUAAUGAAAAAGCGUGAAUUUCGGUUUUGGAUUUGCCACGUUUGCAUGACCAUUUCAAUCCUCGUCAGCAAUGGAACAACAUAGACUUUCACUGAAUUUAUCCCACCCGCCCAUGCCCAUAUUUGUUGAUAUUGUUUAUAACUUUAUUGUGAAUCAGAAAUCUUUGCUGCUUCUGUUCAUCUGUUUUUCAGGUUCCUGCAUAGUAGAUCUGUUUCAGAUCAUAGAAUACGUCAUCAGGGAACAGUACAAUAGCAAAAAGUGAUAUUCCCACAAACAACACACACAGCUAUGAAGUGACUGAUGAAUAAUUUGGUCAUGUAAUAAAGUUUACGAUCAUUCUUUGAGAGGAUGUAUCAAUAAAGUUAACGAUCAUUCUUUGAGAGGAUGUAUCAAAAUAAUGACAUGGAUUUUGUGAGAUUAUUGCUAUAAGAACUACUUUAGAAAUGAAAUGGAAUACCCAUACGAUCAGACACUUUAGUGUUAGUGUUGUUAGUAAUGUUGUUCGUAAAUGUUCUGUUGAACACCAGAAACUCAAACUGAUAGAUAUAUAAAUAUAUGUGUUAACGUUAUUAUUUGUCGCGGCUUUAUAACGUUUUCAUAGAAUAUUGAUUCUAAUUUGAAAAUGCACUGUGGGAGUAGAAGAGUACCAAGGUCAUAUGCAUUAAUUUUAAAGUAAUAGUAUUACUCGGAAGUAAUAGUUUAAUUCAGAAUGGUAUCAAGUAACUUGAAUAGUCAUGUUUUUGUUAGUGUUCUGUGUAGUGAAGGAAAUAGCUUAUUAGCAUUGGUUAAUGGUACGCCACUUUGAAAAGCUGUCGACCACCGACCAUGGUUUAUAUUUGUUCGUGGAAAAUGUCAUGAGUCUAACCAGUGUUAGCAGAAGCAUUGUCAUAGUUUGUCGGCGUAUAAGUUUCAAUUGUGGGUCUGCACUUGCGUUUUAAUGAAUGCGUAGUACAAUCUCUCGGCUGAAAAUGGCUAGAAGCCACUAAAUAAUUCGGUCGAGGACUGUGGGCCAAGGCAUUUGUAGAAUACUGUUUAACUAUAAGUUCAUUAUAACUGAUUAAAUCAAAAUUGCAUUCCAGCAUAGUCGGGUCUACUGUCUAAGUCACUGUGUCAUUACCUGACGUCGAAGGUGGACCUCAAUUUGUGUUAUUAGAUGACGUCAUAGGUUGAAGGCAGUGGGAUUCGGUGGUCUGGAGACUCGACGUAAUCAGUUUUCAGUUACUUUGCUCAAUGGCUGGUCUGCUAUAGACAUCUGAGUCGCAUGUUUUGUUCGCCCCUACGGUACAUGAAUUUUUCAUAAAUGGUCAGUGACAUGAGUAGUUUUUCUUCAUACGGUACAUUUAAUUAUGAUGAAUACCGUUAUUUCAAAUUAAUUCAUAACACUUUUAUAUAAAGCGUAUAUAUAAUGCGCUUACAUGUACUUUCGUGUUCUUCUGCUCCCACAGGUUUGCGAAGUUAGGCAUGGCAAUUAUACGAAAUUGUUACAGAAAAAUGAUAGUCGUAGAGUAUUGAUAUAUAUUUUAGCAUGCUUGAAUUCGUUCCGUUUUUCAGUAUUUCGAGGAAUAGUCUGAGCAUUUCAAUGUGUUAUACAUUGGCUACGGAAACACGUUUCCUCCUGUCCUAGUUAAAAAUCGGGAAGGGGGUUUUUCGUGGGCGGCUCGUAUUCUGUUUGAGAAAUAUACAAUCGAAUUUGUUCAACGUGAAAAAAAUGUAGCGGCUUUAACUGUAUUAUUUAAUAUACAGAUUCGAUUGUGGCAUGCAUAUCAAUUGAUAUGACGGCAUCUCGUAUAGCAUUUGUACAUAUCUGAAUAACAUUUACAUUUUGAUGCCGUAUGUUUGCUUUUCUAUUAUCGGAAUGUAAUAAUUGUUGAUUACUGUUUUCUGUUAGAAGAAAGAUACUUUUGUACACUAAUAACUUCUAUGUACAGUUAGUAUUUCCCCCUUUUGCAGCCAUCGCUGGGGAUGAUUGUUCUUUCGAUUGAUUCAAAUUUUAUCUUAUUUAUUUAAUGUAUUCUGUUUGUACCUUUGCAGUGUCGCUGGGGCAAAUGAAAUUAGGUUAUUUUCAAUAUACAUCUUUAAAUUAGCUGUUUGUAUAGUAUGUGCAUUUUAAACAUUAUGUCACCUUGCCAGUUGCCAUGAGAAAUCUUUAAAAUAAAGUCGCGGCCUUUUCCCACUAAACUGUGUUGUAGUUUUCAUUUAUACUGAUAUUUUAGUUGUAGUGGGUGUGACAGACGUAUAUGGUCGGACGCUAACUCAUCUGCCAACGAAAUGUGAUAAUAUCAGUCAUUAAUAAAUUCAAUCUUGUUUUCUUUUAAAAUGGCUGAUGAUUUUGCGUCUUGCUAAUGGCUGCUGUCAUUCCCUGUUAUAUACGGUCCAGUGAUA